GUGGGCGUAGCUCAGUUGGUAGAGCACAGGAUUGUGGCUCCUGGUGUCGUGGGUUCGAAACCCAUCGUCCACC
Molecule: transfer RNA, 73 nt
Filed under: Halopseudomonas xinjiangensis
Lineage: Bacteria; Pseudomonadati; Pseudomonadota; Gammaproteobacteria; Pseudomonadales; Pseudomonadaceae
Description: Pseudomonas xinjiangensis tRNA
Rfam family: tRNA
About the family: Transfer RNA (tRNA) molecules are approximately 80 nucleotides in length.
Source: Rfam by way of RNAcentral